UUGCAUUAUCGAUUCCAGGUACGGAUUCCGUACUCUUUCAGCGAGACUCUUUUGUUUUUAAUUUGUUCGUUUCGUUAUUCGUUUCGAAAUUUAGUAUUGUCGCUCAUAAUUGUUCCUUGUCAAUUUAUUGUGAUAAAUUUAUUUUGGCGUUGUAUUAGAACUCAUAUUUGUACUCUUUAGACUAGUGUAUCAUGUCUAAAUUUUAUUUUGAUAAUUAUAGUGAUGUACAUGUUAAUAUAUUUUUUUAGAGACUUGUG
Molecule: long non-coding RNA, 257 nt
Filed under: Panax ginseng (ginseng)
Lineage: Eukaryota; Viridiplantae; Streptophyta; Magnoliopsida; Apiales; Araliaceae
Description: long non-coding RNA (PGIN_LNC019152)
Source: RNAcentral